Molecule: long non-coding RNA, 137 nt
Filed under: Ictidomys tridecemlineatus (thirteen-lined ground squirrel)
Lineage: Eukaryota; Metazoa; Chordata; Mammalia; Rodentia; Sciuridae
Description: lncRNA (ENSSTOG00000029762.1)
Source: RNAcentral
ACACUCUUUGGACACAAACACUCAUGCUGCUCAUCUCUUGCUCAUGUGGAACUCAUGAGCUCUGCUUUCAAACCAACAUAAGUGUGACACGUGUUGCCAGAGAGAGAACCUAAAAUCUACCACUGAUACUGACAAAC